Molecule: small nuclear RNA, 269 nt
Filed under: Dipodomys ordii (Ord's kangaroo rat)
Lineage: Eukaryota; Metazoa; Chordata; Mammalia; Rodentia; Heteromyidae
Description: 7SK RNA
Rfam family: 7SK RNA
About the family: 7SK was discovered as an abundant small nuclear RNA in the mid-70s but a possible function has only recently been suggested. Two independent studies have found that 7SK RNA binds the CDK9/cyclin T complex (known as elongation factor P-TEFb). P-TEFb activates transcription by phosphorylating the C-terminal domain of RNA polymerase II.
Source: Rfam by way of RNAcentral
GGAUCUGGCCACAACCUCUGUCACCCCAUUGAUACCAGGGUUGAUUGGGCUGAUCUGGCUGGCUAGGCCGGUACAUCCCUCCCUCAGCUGCAUGUGCUUGAAGAGGACUACCAUCCCCAGUUGAGGAGGACCAGUCUUCCAUCAAGGGUAUAUGAGUAACUGUGCUCCCCUGCUAGAACCUCCAAACAAGCUCUCAAAGAACACAAUCAGCUAAGUUACUCUUACAAAAGAAAGAGAUCAAGGGCUGGGAAUGUAGCUUGCUUAGCAUU